RNAcentral lists this ribosomal RNA (253 nucleotides) under uncultured bacterium. RNAcentral's name for it is "partial 16S ribosomal RNA". It matches the Rfam family "Bacterial small subunit ribosomal RNA", at positions 524 to 776 of the family's 1533-position model. The record is from RNAcentral.
UACGUAGGUGGCAAGCGUUGUCCGGAUUUAUUGGGUUUAAAGGGUGCGUAGGCGGCCUUGUAAGUCAGUGCUGAAAUAUCCCGGCUUAACCGGGAGGGUGGCAUUGAUACUGCAGGGCUUGAGUAAAGUUGAGGUUGGCGGAAUUGACGGUGUAGCGGUGAAAUGCGUAGAUAUCUGGAGGAAUACCGGUGGCGAAGGCGGCAUCCUGGACCGGCAUUGACGCUGAGGAGCGAAAGCUAGGGGAGCAAACGGG